This is a non-coding RNA of Cinara cedri, 301 nucleotides long. Lineage: Eukaryota; Metazoa; Arthropoda; Insecta; Hemiptera; Aphididae. The record is from the annotation of a GenBank genome assembly.
GUCCACGUCGUCGUGCAGUACAAAUAAAUACAACUAUCGGUAACAACAAUUACAACGACUACAAUUACAUAUAGCAACAACAACAACAACAACAAUAUCGAACGUCGUUAGUCGACCGCGAGUUUCCGAAAAGGUUGCGCGCGCGAUAGAUUUAUUUUUCGUACCUACUCGUGCGGACGUUUCGAUUAUUUGAUGUUGUUAUUAUUAUUAUUACUGUUAUGAUUAUUUUUAUCGUCGGCGACCAUACACAUCACACCCACACACGAUCGAUUUCGUUCGCGGAUAGGGUCGUUUUACGCGC